CCCUUGAAGUAGCACCUGACGUCUCUUUUUUCCCUUAUCUCUUCCCCCCGCCUCUGCCCCGGGUGCUUUUGUUUCUCUUUCCUUCUCGCCUCCCUUUCCACUCGCCAAUCAUGCUGCAGUCAUCACCGACCAGGCCCCUGGAACCCAAGGCUAAGAGAGGUUGCUGGUUGCUAACACCUGUCUCCCAGCUAAAUGAAUAGGCUCUUUUGUGAGCUAGAUGUUAAAAAAGCUGAUUAGUACAAUACUGGCUUAAAGGACCUAUUAAUGGUACAACAUAUGGAAAUCACGGAGAGAUUAAAGCCGUUGUAGAGAUUUGUUUCUCAUACUCUACUUUAAAUUUUUUUUUUUUUUUAAUUCUGAAUUAGGGAUGCUGGCUGAAUUUUCCCUUGUAAACCGUGACUCUGUUUAUUGCCCAGACUAAUUUUUGUCAUAUCGAUUGGGAAUCAUUUAUAUUCUAAAGAAGUUUCUACCCUUAAGGGCCUUUGUAUUCUUCGGCAAAUGUCAAACUAGUGUGUAAUAGAAUUAAAGUUUUGUUCACUGUGCUGCUGACAUAAUUAGUUUAAUUUCUGCUCCUUAUAUGCUUCUCUUGGCAGCCAGGAAAUUAAAAUACUAGAUUUUGUAUAACACUGCUUUUUUGAGGGGGUGAUUUUCCGUCAGCUGAAUGGACUUAGGCCCCAGGGUACAUUUUUUUUGAAGAUGUCUUACUCAACUUUCCUGUAAUAGUCUCUUUCUCUCGACAGAAUUAAUGUAUUAAGACACAUAAUUGGCUACUUAAGCAUUCAGAAGAGACAAUAUUUGGCCUUUACCCCGUGAUUAUAUUUUUUCCUAUAUCUCUUUUGAGGAAAUGUAUGUAAUUUUUGGAAACCCCUAAGCAUAUUACAGUUACACGAGCAUGUGAACUUUUGCAAAGACUAGAGAAUGGAGUGGUUUUCUCUGAUAAGCCAUAGGAUUUAAUUCUCUCCCCAAAUCAUUGCUCUGUUCCUUUUAGAUCAUAGCGUUUGCAGACCUGAUGUGAAAGUAGAAAGGCUGUGAUGCCUUGGCAAAUCCUCUUCACAGGUUUUCUGUGAUACGAAAGAAAUGGCUCUAGUCUACAGGGACAGAAGUCGCUCUCAAGGAGACUUUACAUUUAAUUAUCCUAAUCCACACUUAAUUUCCUACAGGAUUCUUGGAGAGAUUUUUUACCACGCUCCUGAUUUCAUGGAGUUAUGACCUAUGAAGUUUUUUUUUUUUUAAAUCUUGGUUAAAGCUGCUAACUUUUUUUUUUUUUUUUUUUUUUUUAAUGGAAAGUGACCUUGGUCUGGUAAUUUCUCCAUUGUCCUCUCUUAUAAAAAGAGAAGCAAAACCUUCUUGCUCUCUCAGCAGCCUUUUUCAGUGUCUAUCCCCCAUGUGCUGGAUUCGAACUUUACAAAAGUUGUGUUGAGCUAGUGUUACUUGACUUUUGAAAGCUGCCCCCUCUGAUGCUACAGGUUAAGCCUGCACCUCCUGGUUUAACAUUCAAAUGCCUUUUCUGGAAGUGCAUACCUGUGGUUGUGGAGUGGUCGGUUCUCCCUGGGGCAGCCCUUUCUAAGGGUAGGGGAAAGCUCACCCCUGUUUGAACUACUUGGAGCCAGUUCUGAUUUGCUGAAACAUUUUAACUGUCUUGAUCCGCUUUGAAGAAAUGUUGCCUAGUCAUCCUGAAACUUAACAGGAAGUUAGGCCCACUGGAGGCUCUGUUGGCCUCUGAGUGGUUAAAUGUAAUUUGCCAGUAAUCAGUACCAUUGUUUAUUUGCAACUGCUGGAUUAUGUUAAAGGACUUGGGGAGAAAAAAGCAUUUCUUAAGCAAAUGGAGCAGCCUCUUCUUGUUUUUCCCUUUUCAUUUACUUUGAAAAAUUGGUCUAGUCUUAGUCCUGAUCACAUGUCUACAGACUUAAUGGCACACGAUUCACUGCAUUUUAUGAUAUAGGAAGGCCUGUUGUCCCUCCAGCUAUUUCUGUGAAUCUUCCCUUUAAAAAAAAAACAACAAAAACAAAACUUUCAUAGUGAUUAAGAUGUCUACUUGAGAAAUAACCAAGCUUCAUCCUCAGAUGAUUUCCAACCUUCUCCUAGGUCUUGAGUCAGUGGGUCCAUAGCCAAUGAAUUAAACCCCCUUUUGACCAUGCUAAAUUAUUAUUUUUUUUUAAUGUCAGUGGUUUUUAGUAAUUAUUAGUAGAAUUAAUAAACAUGGCUUGGGAGUUCCGGUUGUGGCUCAGUGGAAACGAAUCUGACUAGCAUCCAUGAGGACUCAGGUUCAAUCCCUGGCCUGGCACAGUGGGUUGGGGAUGCAGUGGUCUGUGGUGUAGGUCGUGGAUGCGGCUCAGAUCCCACAGCAUUGUGACUGUGGUGUAGGCCAGCAGCUACAGCUCCAGUUCAACCCCUAGCCUGGGAACCUCCAUGUGCCUCAAGUGUGGCCCUAAAAAGACCAAAAUAAGUAAAUAAAUAAACAUGGCUUUUUAAUUUUACUUUUUAUUUUAUUUUUUUAUCUUUUUGGCUGCGUCUCAGGCACAUGGAAGUGCCCAGACCAGGGGUCAUACUCCAGUCACAGCAGUGACAGCUCCAAGCCCUUAACCACUGAGCCAUCAGGGAACUCCUGACCAUGCAAAAUUAUUAUCUUGCCUAGUGUGAAAGAAGAUCCACCGGAGCAUGAGUCUUUAUUCUAAAAUGCUGGACAAAAGGAGUGUUCUGACUUGGGGGAAGCGGGAGGAGUGUUUCCCAGGGCUUUAGAGGAAUGAGUCAGCUGAAGUACAGCUACUUUGAGGAAACCUUAGUCAAGGAUGUUUAUCAGGAUUGAUUUUGCAGGCCAGCAGCCCAAUUGUUUGGGCAAUUUGGAUUUUAUGGAGGUGAAGAGGAACGGUUAGGGAUUAAAAUGUGGGGCAAGGGGUGUGGGGUAAGAAGGAAUAACUGCAGGAGUUCCCGUCAUGGCUCAGCAAAACAAUGACUAGCAUCCAUGAGGAUGGUGAUUUGAUCCCUGACCUCGCUCAGUGGGUUAAGGAUCUGGCGUUGCCAUGAGCUGUGGUGUAUGUCGCAGACAUGGCUUGGAUCCCAUGUUGCUGUGGCUCCGAUUUGAUCCCUAGCCUGGGAACCUCCAUUUGCUGUGGUGUGGCCCUAAAAAAAAGACAAAAAAAAAAAAGGAGUAACUGCAGGGACGGGGCCAGGACUUGCCCAGCCCACUUUGGAAAAUUCUUAGGCCUUCAGGUUCUCUCACUUUUGUCCACCUCUCUUUCUACCUUUUGGGCGUGACUAGAUUCAGAUACCCUCCUCUAUCGUUUGAUCAUAUCCUGAUGGAAGAAACUGCAUAACCAUUCUGUGUCAGAGCCGAAGGUGACCUUAGUCAGGGUUUGCUGUAGGUCAGAUGGGGAGAGGGGCGCCCAGAUGUUCCCGGAGAGCUGGACAAGGGGCCCUCCGCCUUCCCUUCCACCCUCCCCACGUGGUUGGACCCAGCACUCCAGGUGACUCUGAGUCAUCGCCCGCACGCCCAUUGCUCUAGCUCAGUGUUUCCCAACUGUCUGGACUGUUGACACAGUUGGUGACCAGCCCUUAAGGAAUCCUGAUGGCGAGCCAGCAAUCCCUAAAUUGUGCUUAUUUGAUGAAAAUUUUUAUUUUAUUUAUUUAUUUUUGUCUUUUUGCCUUUUCUAGGGCUGCUCCAAUGGCAUAUGGAGGUUCCCAGGCCAGGGGUCUAAUCGGAGCUGCAGCUGCCAGCCUACACCAGAGCCAUAGCAAGGCGGGAUCUGAGCUGCAUCUGCAACCUACACCACAGCUCACGGCAACUGAGGCCAGGGAUCGAACCUGCAACCUCAUGGUAAUUAAAAAUUUUAAUACAGCUUAUUGGAGUUCCCUUUGUGGCUAAGCGAUAAUGAACCCAACUAGUAUCCAUGAGGAUGUGGCUUCAGUCCCUGGCCUCCCUUAGUCGGUUAAGGAUCCAGCAUUGCUGUGGCUGUGGUGUAGGUCUAGCAGCUGCAGCUCCGAUUAAGCCCCUAGCCUCGGAACUUCCAUAUGCCACACA
This 4018-nucleotide long non-coding RNA is filed under the name Sus scrofa (pig). RNAcentral describes it as "lncRNA (ENSSSCG00060014588.1)". Lineage: Eukaryota; Metazoa; Chordata; Mammalia; Artiodactyla; Suidae. The record is from RNAcentral.